GAUGAAGAACGCAACGAAACGCGAAAGGUAAUGCGAAUUGCAGAAUCAGUGAGUCAUCGAAUCUUUGAACGCACAUUGCGCCCCUUGGUAUUCCGGGGGGCACGCCUGUUCGAGCGCCAUUACACACCCCAAGCUAAGCUUGAUGUUGGGCGAUGUCUGUCACAGGACACGCCUGGAACGUAUGGGCGCCGCCGCCGGAUCACGAGUGUAGCAAGACGCAAGUCAUCGCUCGGUCGGUCCUGGCGGUUGGCCGCCGCGGCUCAUGGUAACACAUGGGCCAGUAACUUUUCACAAGUUUGGCCUCGAAUCAGGCGGGGAUACCCGCUGAACUUAAGCAUAUCAAUAAGCGGAGGA
Molecule: unclassified non-coding RNA, 354 nt
Filed under: soil metagenome
Description: partial contains 5.8S ribosomal RNA, internal transcribed spacer 2, and large subunit ribosomal RNA
Rfam family: 5.8S ribosomal RNA (bases 1-119)
Source: RNAcentral